GGAUGUGGAGGGGCUAUCUGGCUGCGACAUCUUGUCACCCCACUGGAUCGCCAGGGUUGAUUCAGCUGAUUUGGCUGGCGUAGGCGGUGUGUCUCCUUCCUCCCUCACCGCUCCAUGUGAGUUCCUCCUGAAGCUGCACGCUCGGUCGAAAGGACGACCUUCCCCGAAUAGAGACGGACCAGUCUUCCGUCAAAGGUAUACGAGUAGCUGUGCUCCCCUGCUAGAACCUCCAAACAAGCUCUCAAGAAACUUACUGAAUAGUCCUGUAUAUACUUUAUCAAAUUUUUUAUUUAUAAAAAGGAAACACUU
This 309-nucleotide small nuclear RNA is filed under the name Erinaceus europaeus (western European hedgehog). Its description in RNAcentral is "7SK RNA (ENSEEUG00000020063.1)". It matches the Rfam family "7SK RNA". Rfam says of the family: 7SK was discovered as an abundant small nuclear RNA in the mid-70s but a possible function has only recently been suggested. Two independent studies have found that 7SK RNA binds the CDK9/cyclin T complex (known as elongation factor P-TEFb). The record is from RNAcentral. Lineage: Eukaryota; Metazoa; Chordata; Mammalia; Eulipotyphla; Erinaceidae.